This 885-nucleotide long non-coding RNA is filed under the name Malus domestica (apple). Its description in RNAcentral is "long non-coding RNA (MDOM_LNC018227)". Lineage: Eukaryota; Viridiplantae; Streptophyta; Magnoliopsida; Rosales; Rosaceae. The record is from RNAcentral.
GGAAGAACAACUGAAAAUCGUUUUGUUUGCAAGUGUGACAUGUGUAGAGAAGAACCUCCUAACUAGCCUUUUAACCAUCUAUUUCACCAAAAUCGUUUUACAAUCUGCCCUAUUUCCAAUCUGUUUUCUUUAGUUUAAUUUUCGUCAAAACAAAAUCCCCCUUUAAUUUGAAGUCUUAGAUUAGUUAGAAAGUGUUUUGAUUUGUGUUUCUAAGUAUUUUGAUUCAAGUUUUUCAUCAAAUUUCGUCCAAAUUAGUGUAGGUGCUCAAAACUGCCCAGAAAGUGGUUUUUAGGCAGUUUUGAGCCUUCUAGUUGCUGUUUUGGUUUUUAGGUUUGUUUAAGUGUUUUAACUUUUAGUUUUGCAUUCUUUGAGUCUAGUUUAGUGUUUUUAACUUUGUUUUUGAGUGUUUGAGUCAGUUUCCAAGCGUUUAGCAAUCCCUCCUAAUCCCCGGUCUAGAACGAUCCCUACUUACAUCUUUGCUACAAUUUGACAAAAAGAGGGUUUAAUUUGUGUGCUUAUUUAUUUCGCAUCACUCUCUCACUCUCUCUCUCACCCUCGAAUGUACGGACCACCCCACAAAACCUUCAAAACUUCAUCGAUCGACGUGGAGAUUAGCAUCAUCGUGUUCACGAGUGUCAUACGAACUCAAAGAUACCAUUUUCAGGUAAGAAAUCCUUCGUUUUCACGUUCAAAACUCGAUGACCGAAUGUGGCACUAUUCAUGAACUUUGUGUUGGUUGAUUUUUAGGACAAUCCAAGCUCACAGUGAGCUUUAGAAGGUUCUAAGGAAGCUCGGGGACGUUCGUUUGGGGGUUUUGGAUGUCGGGAUCGUCGAGUUCGAAGUUGGCCGAUUUUCUUGGAAAUUCUCCUGUGAGAUUUCGUGAUU